CACAAACUAUUUUUGUUCCUCCUGGUUGCUUGUUCCUUUUGUCUUGCCCCUUUUGGCCUAUAUUCGGACAGUAGGGUGCAGAUGGUUUGUCAUCAUGUUUAUUGAGUAAUUUGGUAUUGAUUAUGUAGGCAAUCAAUAAGGUAAAAGAAUUGGAUGUUAGCAUAGAGGGAAAAAGUUUGGAAGAGAAGAAAAGUCCGUUUGCAAAGUGGCUGCUACAACUUUGUCAUCGAAGGUUUGUAGUGCAGCCAUGUGUAAAAACAUCAACUUGAUAAAUCUUGAUGUAGUUCUUCCAUCUUUUUCUUCCUGCAAUCAACUAGAGAAUGGAAGGCAUAUGAAUCGAGGGAGAAGAAAGAAGAGAACUAGAGCUAAUGGAACAAAAGACCCAAAAACGAUUCGGGUCGAAUUUUUUGAAAUAGGUUUUUAGACUAAGUGGGUCAUAAAUUUUGAAACGGGUAAAGAAAUCCAUGUCAUAUUUGCUAUGUCAAUCGACUGUUAAAAAAGGACAAUUUUAAAUCUUAAGAAAAUGUUAAAGUAUUUUUAAAUCAAAAGGUAAAAGAAAAGUAUUUUAAAACUAUUUAGAAUAUGGUAAACACAUUUUUAAUCAUAAAAUAAUAAAUAAAGAUAAAUGAGAAUACACUCUUCAUCUUCUCCAAGUACAAGUAUGGCCGUAAAGCUAUGGCAAAAUAUGGAAGUUUCAAUCACAGCUCUCUCUUCGACAAUCUAUAUUACUUUCUACUAUGUUGUUUCGGAGAUUUCUGGUUCAGCUGAUCAUGGUCACCACCAGAGAUUUCGAGGAACAUAUGCCACGCACAGUGAUUUCUGAAGAGGAAUUGAUGGGUCUGAUUCAGAGAAGAUGGCAAUCAAGGCUCAGAGCAUUCAGGAAUUUAGGAGAUUGGGGUUUCUGUGAUAGGUGGGAGGAGAUUCUCCUGUAAGGAGAUGGGAGGACCUUGAUAAUGAUAUAUUGGUCUUCCAUCCCAAUUUGUAUGUUCACGACAAUCAGUUAACUUUUGCUGCCAAGAGGUAUUCCCCCAAUAAACUUUCAUCUUUCUAUAACAUUAUAAUUAUAACUUAAUCAAGAAACCGUACAACAAGCAACGUUUCAGAGAUAUUCAGAUCCCUAUGAUUUUCCAUUAUUCUUUGAGAAACAAAAAUUACUGUGAAAAUGAACAAGACAGCUAAUUAGAUCUCCUCUUUUUCAGGUUUCCACGGCUUAAAAUUCUUGUUAUGCCUUCUUGGAACAAAAUAAAAAAGCAAGCAAUAUGCAGGGCAUUCGUCUAUGGAAAGAUCUUGAAUCACUAACAAUGCCUAGUAUAUAAAAUCCUGCACAUGUCAUCGAGGAAAUUGCAAGGAGUUGCCAAAUAAAUUUGAGCUUAUGAUUAUAGGGUCCUGUAUAUGCUGUUUGCAUUAACAUUAGGACUCAGGUCAAUUUUUCUUGAGACGGCCUGUCGACAUAUACGCAAGGCUUCCUUGGGAUUCUGAUGAAAUUCGAUUGCAAUACCAACAACUCCAGAGUUCACUAAGGAAGUUGAUCAGAAUAAGUCAAUUGCCAUGCACGACAAACUUGAGGAAUUGCAUAUAUCAACUGGAAAAGGUCAAAGGACUAGAGUAUCUUAACCCAAGAUAUUAAUAUCAAGGUCCUCCCAUCUUCUUACAGGAGAAUCUCCUUUUUCCAUCACAACAGCUUCAAUCUUUUUUUUUUUUUUUAAAAAAACUCCAUCAGCAAUUAUGCAAUCCAUCAGCAAUAAUGCAAUAAGAUAUGUUCAGCACUUUCAACUUUCUUAACCCCUCCUAGAUAAUAACCAAAGCAGGUUUAGAUAACAUCUUGCACCUCACACUCAACACUUGUUUUUUUUUUUUUUUUAAAAAA
Molecule: long non-coding RNA, 1867 nt
Organism: Solanum pennellii
Lineage: Eukaryota; Viridiplantae; Streptophyta; Magnoliopsida; Solanales; Solanaceae
Exons: 3
Source: RefSeq, a predicted model, not a curated record